This 67-nucleotide microRNA precursor is filed under the name Notamacropus eugenii (tammar wallaby). RNAcentral describes it as "miRNA (ENSMEUG00000017476.1)". The record is from RNAcentral. Lineage: Eukaryota; Metazoa; Chordata; Mammalia; Diprotodontia; Macropodidae.
GCAUGUAUGUGUGCACGUGCAUAUUGUGUGUGUGUAUGUGUAUAUAUAUGUAUAUAAUUAUAUAUUA